UGGGCAGAAAAACUAAGCAUGAUUUGGGGU
This 30-nucleotide non-coding RNA is filed under the name Mus musculus (house mouse). Lineage: Eukaryota; Metazoa; Chordata; Mammalia; Rodentia; Muridae. The record is from RNAcentral.